GAAUGUUUAACCUAGAGGGAGCAGUGGUUAAGGGGUGGGGUUAUGUGAGGUAACAUCGUUUAGGUGAGGUUUAUCUACGUAUGUUACCUGUGUGUUUGUGAGUCUCUUUGUUCACUUGUUUGGGAAAGCGCACAAGCAGGAGUCACGAUGGAUUGCGGUUCAAAGAAGAAGGAUAAGGGAGAGUGCAAAGACAAGUCUGGAGGUAAGGACAAGCCAAAGGACAAAGGCAAAGACCACAAGAUGAAGGACAAAAAGAAAAAGGAAAAGAA
Molecule: long non-coding RNA, 269 nt
Organism: Perca fluviatilis (European perch)
Lineage: Eukaryota; Metazoa; Chordata; Actinopteri; Perciformes; Percidae
Exons: 3
Source: RefSeq, a predicted model, not a curated record